AAUAGAUACCCGGGUAGUCCAUGCCGUAAACGUUGGGCACUAGGUGUGGGGCUCAUUCCACGAGUUCCGUGCCGCAGCAAACGCAUUAAGUGCCCCGCCUGGGGAGUACGGCCGCAAGGCUAAAACUCAAAGGAAUUGACGGGGGCCCGCACAAGCGGCGGAGCAUGCGGAUUAAUUCGAUGCAACGCGAAGAACCUUACCAAGGCUUGACAUGCACGGGAAGCCACCAGAGAUGGUGGUCUCUUUGGACACUCGUGCACAGGUGGUGCAUGGUUGUCGUCAGCUCGUGUCGUGAGAUGUUGGGUUAAGUCCCGCAACGAGCGCAACCCUCGUCCCAUGUUGCCAGCGGGUUAUGCCGGGGACUCAUGGGAGACUGCCGGGGUCAACUCGGAGGAAGGUGGGAUGACGUCAAAUCAUCAUGCCCCUUAUGUCUUGGGCUUCACGCAUGCUACAAUGGCCGGUACAAAGGGCUGCGAUGCCGUAAGUGAGCGAAUCCAAAAGCGGUCUCAGUUCGGAUGGGUC
RNAcentral lists this ribosomal RNA (522 nucleotides) under uncultured bacterium. RNAcentral's name for it is "bacterial SSU rRNA". It matches the Rfam family "Bacterial small subunit ribosomal RNA", at positions 777 to 1303 of the family's 1533-position model. The record is from RNAcentral.